UACGGAGGGUGCAAGCGUUAUCCGGAUUCACUGGGUUUAAAGGGUGUGUAGGCGGGUAUUUAAGUCAGUGGUGAAAUCUCCAGGCUCAACCUGGAAACUGCCAUUGAUACUAUAUAUCUUGAAUUUUGUUGAGGUAGGCGGAAUAUGUCAUGUAGCGGUGAAAUGCAUAGAUAUGACAUAGAACACCAAUUGCGAAGGCAGCUUACUAAGCAAACAUUGACGCUGAGGCACGAAAGCGUGGGGAUCAAACAGG
RNAcentral lists this ribosomal RNA (253 nucleotides) under uncultured bacterium. RNAcentral describes it as "partial 16S ribosomal RNA". It matches the Rfam family "Bacterial small subunit ribosomal RNA", at positions 524 to 776 of the family's 1533-position model. The record is from RNAcentral.